RNAcentral lists this ribosomal RNA (440 nucleotides) under uncultured bacterium. RNAcentral's name for it is "partial 16S ribosomal RNA". It matches the Rfam family "Bacterial small subunit ribosomal RNA", at positions 338 to 795 of the family's 1533-position model. The record is from RNAcentral.
CCUACGGGUGGCAGCAGUAGGGAAUAUUGCUCAAUGGGGGAAACCCUGAAGCAGCAACGCCGCGUGGAGGAUGAAGGUUUUCGGAUUGUUAACUCCUUUUGUUAGAGAAGAUAAUGACGGUAUCUAACGAAUAAGCACCGGCUAACUCCGUGCCAGCAGCAGCGGUAAUACGGAGGGUGAAAGCGUUACUCGGAAUCACUGUGCGUAAAGAGCGCGUAGGCGGGAUAGCAAGUCCGAUGUGAAAUCCAAUGGCUUAACCAUAGAACUGCAUUUGAAACUGGUAUUCUAGAGUAUGGGAGAGGUAGGUGGAAGUCUUGGUGUAGAGGUAAAAUCCGUAGAUAGCAAGAGGAAUACUCAGUGCGAAGGCGACCUGCUAGAACAUAACUGACGCUGAUGCGCGAAAGCGUGGGGAGCGAACAGGAUUAGAUACCCCUGUAGUC